Molecule: transfer RNA, 72 nt
Filed under: Sphaerodactylus townsendi
Lineage: Eukaryota; Metazoa; Chordata; Lepidosauria; Squamata; Sphaerodactylidae
Description: tRNA-Gly
Rfam family: tRNA
About the family: Transfer RNA (tRNA) molecules are approximately 80 nucleotides in length. Their secondary structure includes four short double-helical elements and three loops (D, anti-codon, and T loops). Further hydrogen bonds mediate the characteristic L-shaped molecular structure. tRNAs have two regions of fundamental functional importance: the anti-codon, which is responsible for specific mRNA codon recognition, and the 3' end, to which the tRNAs corresponding amino acid is attached (by aminoacyl-tRNA synthetases). tRNAs cope with the degeneracy of the genetic code in two manners: having more than one tRNA (with a specific anti-codon) for a particular amino acid; and 'wobble' base-pairing, i.e. permitting non-standard base-pairing at the 3rd anti-codon position.
Source: RNAcentral
GGGACCGUGGCUCAGUGGUAGAGCAUCUGCUUGCCGUAGAGAAGGUGCCAGGUUCAAUUUCUGGUGUCUCCA